UACAGAGGGGGCAAGCGUUAUUCGGAAUUAUUGGGCGUAAAGGGCGCGUAGGCGGUUCUUCAAGUCUCUCGUGAAAUCCCUCGGCUUAACUGAGGACGUGCGGGAGAUACUGAAGGGCUUGAGUCCGGAAGAGGGUGGUGGAAUUCCCAGUGUAGCGGUGAAAUGCGUAGAUAUUGGGAGGAACACCGGUGGCGAAGGCGGCCACCUGGGCCGGAACUGACGCUGAGGCGCGAAAGCGUGGGUAGCAAACAGG
This 253-nucleotide ribosomal RNA is filed under the name uncultured bacterium. Its description in RNAcentral is "partial 16S ribosomal RNA". It matches the Rfam family "Bacterial small subunit ribosomal RNA", at positions 524 to 776 of the family's 1533-position model. The record is from RNAcentral.